RNAcentral lists this ribosomal RNA (460 nucleotides) under uncultured bacterium. Its description in RNAcentral is "partial 16S ribosomal RNA". It matches the Rfam family "Bacterial small subunit ribosomal RNA", at positions 338 to 795 of the family's 1533-position model. The record is from RNAcentral.
CCUACGGGUGGCAGCAGUGAGGAAUAUUGGUCAAUGGGCGUAAGCCUGAACCAGCCAAGUCGCGUGAAGGAUGAAGGUCCUAUGGAUUGUAAACCUCUUUUAUAAGGGAAUAAAGUGAGGGACGUGUGCCGUUUUGUAUGUACCUUAUGAAUAAGGAUCGGCUAACUCCGUGCCAGCAGCCGCGGUAAUACGGAGGAUCCGAGCGUUAUCCGGAUUUAUUGGGUUUAAAGGGUGCGUAGGCGGGUUUUUAAGGCAGCUGUGAAAGUCUGUGGCUCAACCUUAGAAUUGCCUUUGAUACUGGCAGCCUUGCGUAUGUUUGAGGCAGGCGGAAUUCGUGGUGUAGCGGUGAAAUGCUUAGAUAUCACGCAGAACCCCGAUUGCGAAGGCAGCCUGCCAAGCCACCACUGACGCUGAUGCUCGAACGCGUGGGUAUCAAACAGGAUUAGAUACCCUAGUAGUC